CGGAGCGUAGCUUAGCUUGGUAGAGCGCCUGCUUUGGGAGCAGGAGGUCGCAGGUUCGAAUCCUGUCGCUCCGA
Molecule: transfer RNA, 74 nt
Filed under: candidate division WOR-1 bacterium RIFOXYA12_FULL_43_27
Lineage: Bacteria; Bacillati
Also listed under: 3 other names
Description: tRNA-Pro
Rfam family: tRNA
About the family: Transfer RNA (tRNA) molecules are approximately 80 nucleotides in length.
Source: RNAcentral